Helianthus annuus (common sunflower) is the source of this 539-nucleotide long non-coding RNA. RefSeq lists it as uncharacterized. The record is from RefSeq and is a predicted model, not a curated record. NCBI's taxonomy places the organism in Eukaryota, Viridiplantae, Streptophyta, Magnoliopsida, Asterales, Asteraceae. The transcript has 3 exons.
GCCUAAAAGGGCAAUUGUGGGAUUUAAAUGUGAGAUUAGCAUUGAAUAUAAUUGUAACCCACGACCAGUUUUCAUACCAAUCGUCCUGCCUUCAAUUAGUCGCUUCAAUCCUCCCCUCCGUUUCCAUCCCACCCUUGUUAAGCUAUGGUUCAUGAUUAGAAAGAGAGAGAGAGAGAGCGACAAAUCGGAAGCGAUUGGAAGCAAGAUCGAUUUAGAAGCAGGCCCGACCAGAAGCUAGGGUUUUACGUAUUCCAUUCAGAUUCAGGCUGUUGUAAGCAGGGGAGAGUUUGGUGUUCUCGGACCUGAUGAUGAUUGCUGGAGCCAAAUGGCUGGCAGAAUUCCUUCUCCUGAUGAGAUCGUGUAUGCGUUCAAUGGAAAAGACCAAGACAACGAUGACAUAUUCAUCAGUUUUAUAUGCUAGCAACUAAUCGUAAUCUGUAUAUUAUUGUUGCAGAUAAUAAUUAAUUUGACUACAUCCGUGAAGCUAAAAUCACAUCAACUAAUAUAUCUGUAAUUUGACACAUUGGCAUUGCAAAGGA